RNAcentral lists this ribosomal RNA (427 nucleotides) under uncultured bacterium. Its description in RNAcentral is "partial 16S ribosomal RNA". It matches the Rfam family "Bacterial small subunit ribosomal RNA", at positions 355 to 774 of the family's 1533-position model. The record is from RNAcentral.
UGGGGAAUAUUGCACAAUGGGCGCAAGCCUGAUGCAGCCAUGCCGCGUGUAUGAAGAAGGCCUUCGGGUUGUAAAGUACUUUCAGCGGGGAGGAAGGCGAUAAGGUUAAUAACCUUGUCGAUUGACGUUACCCGCAGAAGAAGCACCGGCUAACUCCGUGCCAGCAGCCGCGGUAAUACGGAGGGUGCAAGCGUUAAUCGGAAUUACUGGGCGUAAAGCGCACGCAGGCGGUUUGUCAAGUCGGAUGGGAAAUCCCCGGGCUCAACCUGGGAACUGCAUUCGAAACUGGCAGGCUAGAGUCUUGUAGAGGGGGGUAGAAUUCCAGGUGUAGCGGUGAAAUGCGUAGAGAUCUGGAGGAAUACCGGUGGCGAAGGCGGCCCCCUGGACAAAGACUGACGCUCAGGUGCGAAAGCGUGGGGAGCAAACA